UACGGAGGGGCUAGCGUUGUUCGGAAUUACUGGGCGUAAAGCGCACGUAGGCGGAACAGAAAGUCAGAGGUGAAAUCCCAGGGCUCAACCUUGGAACUGCCUUUGAAACUCCUGUUCUUGAGGUCGAGAGAGGUGAGUGGAAUUCCGAGUGUAGAGGUGAAAUUCGUAGAUAUUCGGAGGAACACCAGUGGCGAAGGCGGCUCACUGGCUCGAUACUGACGCUGAGGUGCGAAAGCGUGGGGAGCAAACAGG
Molecule: ribosomal RNA, 252 nt
Filed under: uncultured bacterium
Lineage: Bacteria
Description: partial 16S ribosomal RNA
Rfam family: Bacterial small subunit ribosomal RNA
Source: RNAcentral